UACGUAGGGGGGCUAGCGUUGUCCGGAAUCAUUGGGCGUAAAGAGCGUGUAGGCGGCCCGGUAAGUCCGCUGUGAAAGUCGGGGGCUCAACCCUCGGAUGCCGGUGGAUACUGUCGGGCUCGAGUACGGAAGAGGCGAGUGGAAUUCCUGGUGUAGCGGUGAAAUGCGCAGAUAUCAGGAGGAACACCUAUUGCGAAGGCAGCUCGCUGGGACGUUACUGACACUGAGGCGCGAAAGCGUGGGGGAGCGAACAGG
RNAcentral lists this ribosomal RNA (255 nucleotides) under uncultured bacterium. RNAcentral's name for it is "partial 16S ribosomal RNA". It matches the Rfam family "Bacterial small subunit ribosomal RNA", at positions 524 to 776 of the family's 1533-position model. The record is from RNAcentral.